RNAcentral lists this ribosomal RNA (560 nucleotides) under uncultured Glomus. RNAcentral's name for it is "SSU rRNA". It matches the Rfam family "Eukaryotic small subunit ribosomal RNA", at positions 546 to 1106 of the family's 1831-position model. Lineage: Eukaryota; Fungi; Glomeromycota; Glomeromycetes; Glomerales; Glomeraceae. The record is from RNAcentral.
AAUUGGAGGGCAAGUCUGGUGCCAGCAGCCGCGGUAAUUCCAGCUCCAAUAGCGUAUAUUAAAGUUGUUGUGGUUAAAAAGCUCGUAGUUGAAUUUCGGGAUCAAUAUUUCGGUCAUGCCGUUGGUAUGCACUGUUAUCAUUGAUUUCUCACCUUCUAAAGAACCGUAAUGCCAUUAAUUUGGUGUUACGGGGAAUUAGGACUGUUACCUUGAAAAAAUUAGAGUGUUUAAAGCAGGCUCACGCUUGAAUACAUUAGCAUGGAAUAAUGAAAUAGGACAUCCGAUUCUAUUUUGUUGGUUUCUAGGAUCGAUGUAAUGAUUAAUAGGGAUAGUUGGGGGCAUUAGUAUUCAAUUGUCAGAGGUGAAAUUCUUGGAUUUAUUGAAGACUAACUACUGCGAAAGCAUUUGCCAAGGAUGUUUUCAUUAAUCAAGAACGAAAGUUAGGGGAUCGAAGACGAUCAGAUACCGUCGUAGUCUUAACCAUAAACUAUGCCGACUAGGGAUCGGAUGAUGUUAAUUUUUUAAUGACUCAUUCGGCGCCUUACGGGAAACCAAAGUGU